GCUCACUCCAACCCAAUGUGAACGUUACCAAACUGUUGCCUCGGCGGGGUCACGCCCCGGGUGCGUCGCAGCCCCGGAACCAGGCGCCCGCCGGAGGAACCAACCAAACUCUUUCUGUAGUCCCCUCGCGGACGUAUUUCUUUACAGCUCUGAGCAAAAAUUCAAAAUGAAUCAAAACUUUCAACAACGGAUCUCUUGGUUCUGGCAUCGAUGAAGAACGCAGCGAAAUGCGAUAAGUAAUGUGAAUUGCAGAAUUCAGUGAAUCAUCGAAUCUUUGAACGCACAUUGCGCCCGCCAGUAUUCUGGCGGGCAUGCCUGUCCGAGCGUCAUUUCAACCCUCGAACCCCUCCGGGGGAUCGGCGUUGGGGAUCGGGACCCCUCACACGGGUGCCGGCCCCUAAAUACAGUGGCGGUCUCGCCGCAGCCUCUCCUGCGCAGUAGUUUGCACAACUCGCACCGGGAGCGCGGCGCGUCCACGUCCGUAAAACACCCAACUUUCUGAAAUGUUGACCUCGGAUCAGGUAGGAAUACCCGCUGAACUUAAGCAUAUCAAUAAGGCGGARGAA
This 566-nucleotide ribosomal RNA is filed under the name Trichoderma sp. PPRI 16760. RNAcentral describes it as "eukaryotic LSU rRNA". The record is from RNAcentral. Lineage: Eukaryota; Fungi; Ascomycota; Sordariomycetes; Hypocreales; Hypocreaceae.